UUCUCAUGGCGAUUGGAGAAUAUAAAACCCUAAAAUGGAAAGCAGAGGAGUGACUGGAAAUAAAGCUUUAGAAACUGAAUACAUGGCUGUGAAUGGUAACAACGUCUCUUUCCUAGGGAUAAGGAUCGACUGAGAAAAUCCUCCACGGUGGGUUAGAAGAUGCUAAAGAAACAUUGAAAUAUUUGAGCUACAGACUCAGAUGGCCAAGAGGCUCCAGAGGGGCAGGCCUGGUGAUGAAUGGAGCUGCAGAGAUUGCACCUGCCGAGGGUGAGAGACAGAAAAGUGGCAGAACCUAAACCAGUGCCCCGGCCCCCACCCAGCCUUUGCAAUCACCCAUUGAGUACCCCGUGUCCGGUGACUUGAGAUCAAGACCAAGGAGAAAAGAAAAGUUCACAUGUCAAAAAUAUAUCCACAAGCUUCAACCAAACAAUAACUUCGAAACAUGCCUUUCUCUCUCUCUUGGAAAAGGAUUUCUGAAUGUCGGAGUGAGAUUUGUUACCUGAUGAUGCCUCAGGUCUGUGAAGACUUCUCCUCCCAGUGUGUUCCUGUUUCCGACCUUUGACACUGCCCGAACUUCAAUCAGAUCUUCAGAAACCUGCCUCUCUUCUGUACAUCAAAAGCACAGACAGGCUGAUGGGGACUCGGGGCACUUAUCAUUUGUGAAGCUGGCAGUGAGACAAGAUGCUCCAGCCACUGUGUGGCUGUUAGACUCCGGAGUCAGAGCUCCGUGCCAUGGGGAAAAUACAGGAGGCCCUUGGAGGUUGUCGGGCAAAUGGGAAGAUGAAUCUCACACUUAUAAGAGACGGGCAUCAGCCCCCACACUUCUGAGACGCCUUGAGCCUUUCGGGACAAAUGCAUGAGGAAUCAGCUCAGUAAGGUGCGUGGGGCGUGGGGUGAAGUACAGACCCAUAGGAUGUGGUUCCAGGUGGAGGACAUUUUCUAGCAGAGAUUUAGAUGCUGUACCAUAUAAGGGGCAGCCAAGAUAGAGUGAUGGGGUCAGGUUACACCCCGGCUGAAACAGCCUGACCAAGUAUAUGAAGCAACAGUUUUCAGGACACUGGACAUCAGGCAGUGAAGGGCAGUGGUCCCCAGGAAAUGAGAAACAUCAGACUGUAAGCCCAAGUUCACCACCUGGACAGAGUUU
RNAcentral lists this long non-coding RNA (1144 nucleotides) under Macaca nemestrina (pig-tailed macaque). Its description in RNAcentral is "lncRNA (ENSMNEG00000046117.1)". The record is from RNAcentral. Lineage: Eukaryota; Metazoa; Chordata; Mammalia; Primates; Cercopithecidae.